AGGGUUUUUGGUUUUUAAUCAUAAGCAUAGCUUUUAAAUUAGAUAAACAGAACUGCCUACUAGAUAAUCUACUCCUGGAAAAGGAAACGGAUUCACUGUUGGUGGGAAUGUAUUGUUACAGUCAUUAGGGAAAACAAUAUGGAGGUUGCUAAGAAAGUAAAAAUAGAACAACCAUAUGACCCAGCAAUUCCUCCUCUGGGUAUAUAAACAAAGGAGAUUAAAUCACUUACUAUGUAAAGCUGUCUGAAUUUCCAUGUCUCCAGUGUAGCAUUAUUCCCUCCCAAUCAUUAAGAUAUAAAAACAACCUAAAUGCCAAUCAAUGGGUGAAUAAAGAACAUGUAACACAUCCACAUUCAGCCUUAAAAAAUGAAGAUCCUGAUAUUUGCCACAACAGAGAUGAACUUGGAGGACUAACUGAAAUAAGCCAGACACAGAAAGAAAAAUAUUGCCCAAGGUUAUGUGCAGAAAAAAAUAUUUUUUUUAAAAAAAGAGUUUAAAUAUACAGAAAUAGAGAAUAUUACAAGG
RNAcentral lists this long non-coding RNA (525 nucleotides) under Marmota monax (woodchuck). Lineage: Eukaryota; Metazoa; Chordata; Mammalia; Rodentia; Sciuridae. The record is from RNAcentral.